Molecule: ribosomal RNA, 506 nt
Filed under: uncultured bacterium
Lineage: Bacteria
Description: partial 16S ribosomal RNA
Rfam family: Bacterial small subunit ribosomal RNA
Source: RNAcentral
AGUGAACGCUGGCGGUAGGCCUAACACAUGCAAGUCGAACGGCAGCACAGGAGAGCUUGCUCUCUGGGUGGCGAGUGGCGGACGGGUGAGGAAUACAUCGGAAUCUACUCUGUCGUGGGGGAUAACGUAGGGAAACUUACGCUAAUACCGCAUACGACCUACGGGUGAAAGCAGGGGAUCUUCGGACCUUGCGCGAUUGAAUGAGCCGAUGUCGGAUUAGCUAGUUGGCGGGGUAAAGGCCCACCAAGGCGACGAUCCGUAGCUGGUCGGAGAGGAUGAUAGGCCACACUGGAACUGAGACACGGGCCAGACUCCUACGGGAGGCAGCAGUGGGGAAUAUUGGACAAUGGGCGCAAGCCUGACCCAGCCAUACCGCGUGGGUGAAGAAGGCCUUCGGGUUGUAAGGCCCUUUUGUUGGGAAAGAAAUCCAGCUGGCUAAUACCCGGUUGGGAUGACGGUACCCAAAGAAUAAGCACCGGCUAACUUCGUGCCAGCCGCCGCCGUAA